RNA transcript from Tripterygium wilfordii, 2375 nucleotides. It is a transcript of the gene named transcription factor PCL1-like, with no coding region annotated. The record is from RefSeq and is a predicted model, not a curated record. The transcript has 3 exons. NCBI's taxonomy places the organism in Eukaryota, Viridiplantae, Streptophyta, Magnoliopsida, Celastrales, Celastraceae.
UUAUCUCCACGUGUUGUCUAUUUUCACUCACCAGCUGUCAACCAACAUUAUUGACUCUCAUUGGUUGAAACUGAAAGCUCUGGAAUAAAUUAAAUUAAAAGGAAAGAUGCGAGGGCAAAGUCGGUGUUACAAAGAAAUAUUGACACGACACUUAUCAAAUUUACCAAAAUGUCCUCUAAAAGUGCAUUAACUUUCAUUAUUUGGCAAAUCUGAACCAAUCACACGCUUGUUAUUGCUCCGGCUGCUUGCCCUCUUCAGUAAUUUCACUUUCCAAUCUAGCACACUCGGGUUCACAGUAAACCUCCUUAUUGAUCUUCUCCGAUUGGUUCAACCGUAAACAAAGGACAGGUGUCGAAGUAUUGUGGUGACUAGUUGUGGUCCAGAUGUAGAUAGAAGAUAGAUAUGAAGAGGAUCAAAAAUAUCUGGCUGAGUCGUCCACGCUGGCAGCGGCACAAGCUCGAUCUGAAAGCAGAUAUUGCACUUUUCUCACCCUUUUUCUCUUCACUGAUACGGUCAUUUUUUCCCUUCGCCGCACUUUCCCUUCAGCUGAACAGACCACCGAAACUCGCUGAAUAGCUUCCCGACUUUCUCUCCAUCUCCAACCCAAUUCGUUUACCGUUUCAGAUUUACUUCCAGACCUAUAUCUGUGCUUCUUGGUGUCUAUUUUAUUAACAAUUAACAAAAAAGGAAAUAAAAGUUCAGUUUUUUUUUGUGGGGGAGUUGUCUGAGUGAAUUAUGGGGGAGGAAGCGAAGAUGACUGAGUUUGAAUCCGGCGGAGAAGAUAACGCUGAUGAGGAGAGAGUUAUGGAAUGGGAGGUUGGAUUACCCAGCGUUGAUGAUCUCACACCGCUUUCUCAAGCGUUGAUCCCGCCGGAGCUUGCUUCCGCGUUCAGUAUAUCUCCGGAGCCAUUCAGGACUCAGUUUGAUGUCAACCGAGCCUCAAAUAAUACCGUCUCCACCAUUCGCGGCGGCGGGGUCUCUCAUGCUAUGUCGUCAAACAAUAACUUCAAGUCGUUUGCGGAAGAGCGGAGCCGCGACCCGAUGGUGGUGGAGGAGGUGGAUGAAAUUACCGAUCGGGACGGUUCUGGAUCUGAUUCAAGGAAAUUGAGGAAGGUUGACUACGCGGAAGAGGCGGACUCGGAGUUGAGGACCGAUAAUCCCGCGGAUGAUCCAGCGGCCAGAACGCUGAAACGGCCACGUCUCGUUUGGACUCCGCAGCUGCACAAGAGGUUCGUUGACGUUGUGACGCACUUGGGGAUCAAGAACGCAGUUCCCAAGACAAUUAUGCAGCUGAUGAACGUGGAGGGCCUGACGCGGGAGAACGUGGCCAGUCAUCUGCAAAAGUACCGGUUAUACCUGAAGCGGAUGCAGGGUAUGUCUGGCGACGGACCAUCCUCGUCAGACCAACUCUUCGCCUCCACGCCGGUGCCGAAGAGCCUGCACGAGGGCGGUGGCGGUAAUGUUGGUAGUGGAGUCCAUGGGAAUGGGCACGUCGGAAUGCCAAUUCCGAUGCCUUAUCCGGCUCCAGGUGGGAUGAUUCCCAUGCCGAUGCCGAUGGCUGUCUACGGACACAUGAGGAUGCAGGUCGCAAAUCAGGGUGACGGGUACAAUAAUGGGUUCGACGGGAAUCAUCCAUACAGCAUGAUGCAUCAACAGAGGGAUUGGUCCGGCAACAAUUUUACCAAUUCUAAUUACCAUAGUCAUGUGGCUCCUAAUGAUAACAACUGAUGAUUAUCAAUACAGAGGGUGAGGUAUAUAAAGUGAUGAGGUGGGUGGAGCCAAGAUUUUUGGUUGAGACAACUUCAUAUUCUCACCCUGAAAAACUUCUCCAGUUUGAUGUUGUUCAUAACUUGGUAGAAAAAGUAGCAUUCUUACUAAAGGCUCUUUCGUCGUGUCAGUUUGCGUUUCAAGGAGUGCCUUCUCAAUAAAAGCUCAAUGGGUACUUGUGUACUUCUAAUGUGGAUGGAGAUAUAGAGAUGUAGUUAGAAAGAGCAUGGAACACUGGCAUGCGCAGUUGAACAUAAUAUAGAAUCAUGUGUGAAUCAGGCAGCAUUGGCAGACCUUCUCUUGGUAUAUAUAUAUAUUCUUCUGGUUACCUGAUGGGAGCUGAACGUUCCUUGCAGCCUAUUACUUGUGGUCUACCUAGAUAGUAGCAAGUCCCCAAGUAUAUUGUUAACUUGUUCUUUACAGAUAGAUGAAGUUAACGUAUUGAUGACAAUCUUAUAUUGUUAUAUCUUUUGUUUUUGGGCAACGAAGCAAAAGACUGUAAAAAGCUAGCAAAAAUCAGUUGGCAUUCAUUCCAUGAUGGUAAUGGAUUGCUUUCAAACUCUUUCAGAUUCAUCUGUUUUGGAAAUGCUUAUUGUCAUUAUGUUCUA